RNAcentral lists this ribosomal RNA (487 nucleotides) under uncultured bacterium. RNAcentral's name for it is "bacterial SSU rRNA". It matches the Rfam family "Bacterial small subunit ribosomal RNA", at positions 1043 to 1529 of the family's 1533-position model. The record is from RNAcentral.
GCAUGGUUGUCGUCAGCUCGUGUCGUGAGAUGUUGGGUUAAGUCCCGCAACGAGCGCAACCCUUAAGCUUAGUUGCCAGCAUUAAGUUGGGCACUCUAAGUUGACUGCCGGUGACAAACCGGAGGAAGGUGGGGAUGACGUCAAAUCAUCAUGCCCCUUAUGAUUUGGGCUACACGCGUGCUACAAUGGACAAUACAAAGGGCAGCUAAACCGCGAGGUCAUGCAAAUCCCAUAAAGUUGUUCUCAGUUCGGAUUGUAGUCUGCAACUCGACUACAUGAAGCUGGAAUCGCUAGUAAUCGUAGAUCAGCAUGCUACGGUGAAUACGUUCCCGGGUCUUGUACACACCGCCCGUCACACCACGAGAGUCUGUAACACCCGAAGCCGGUGGAGUAACCAUUUAUGGAGCUAGCCGUCGAAGGUGGGACAAAUGAUUGGGGUGAAGUCGUAACAAGGUAGCCGUAUCGGAAGGUGCGGUUGGAUCACCUC